AGCACCAAGCCACCAACCAAAGCCAACCACCAGCGACCUCUCUCUCUCUCUCCCUCUAUAUAUAUAUAUAUAUUCUCCACUAGCAUUUCCACAGCAGCAGUGAUAAUAUCUCAAGCACAUGCUUUAUUGCUCUCUCGCCAUCUCUCUAUAUAAUCUCCACUAGCAUUUGCAGAGCAGUACUGAUAAUCUCAAGCAGAUGCUUUAUUACUGUCUCAACACAGCAUUAAUGCACAUCAUAUCAGCACAUUAACAACAAGAAACACAUUGCCCACCCAUCAAGCAACUCAUCGAGUUUCUUCCCAAUAUUCUCUCACAUAUAUAUGGAAGAAAAACAAAUAAAAUUGCACAAUCUUUCUACCAACAAACUUAUGAUAUCUAACAACAUAUAUCCAUAUAUAAAACAAAAAAAAGAAUCAGGCGCUGUUCUUCCAUCUCACUUCUUACCCAGAUGCCGGCGCUUCCUCUUCUUCUUCGACCGGCCUGACAAAGAAGGCACUGUGGUCGGCCGAUCUCUUUGUUGAAACCAGAGCUCGAUCUCCUCGAGCCGAGCACUGAACAACUCCAGCUCCGGUAGUCUCCUCUUGCACAAAAGCACUUUUCGUGGCUUUUUCGGCGCCGGCGGGCAGCUAGAGGGGACUGUCGGUAGCUUGCUCUCUUCCGACGUCGGCGUCCGGCACUCUCUCCCCUCAUCCUCACUGUUAACCAAUGGCACCACGAUAUCAUGAUGUCCUACCGGAAACAUGGUAAUGAUAGGAUGUAGAACAAACUCUGAAGAGACUCGAGAGACUUCUGGGGAUGCCGACAUGGUGUCUGGAUGUACCAAGGCAGGAAAAAUGGAUGUAGGAAAGGGAGUACAUAUAGGAGUGUGGAAAGUCGAAGGCGUAUUGGAGAAGAAGGUAGUUUGGUGGCCUCUUUCCUUUCUUCCUCGAUCUCCUUCAGCAUUUUACUUUCUUGAAUGGGCCCUUUAGAAGACGAAUGGCACUGACACUAUUCGUUAAUUUAUUGGUCUACCGACAGGGAUCAUAGGAUGCCGUCCGGGCUCUUGG
Molecule: long non-coding RNA, 1046 nt
Filed under: Elaeis guineensis (African oil palm)
Lineage: Eukaryota; Viridiplantae; Streptophyta; Magnoliopsida; Arecales; Arecaceae
Description: long non-coding RNA (EGUI_LNC044289)
Source: RNAcentral